GUAUGCAAGACUUGACAAAGCUGAUGAGGGGCCAGAUGGGCCUCGCUCUUAUGGUUUUUUUUUCUUCUUCUUCUUCUUCUUCCUCUCUCUCUCUCUCUCUCUGUCUCUCUCUCUCUCGUCUCUCUUCCUUUCCCCCCUCCACCACUUGGGACCUGAGCGAGAGGACUGCAGCAGGCGAGUUCCGGAAGGCUGAAUCCCCAGGUCCCAGCCCCGGACCGCGGCAACUCGCCCCUGCGGCACGCCCGGCCCGGCUGCGCCCCCACUCAGCGAUGGAGGUAAAGAGGCGGCGGCCGCGCGCCCUGCCCCGGCUGCCGCUGCCGAGUCCCCGCUGCUCUCCUUGUCCUUCGCUCUCUUCUUCCUCCUCCUAGUCCCCUUCAGUUUCCUGGGCGAAGCAGAGGGCGACAUGGGUGGGUGGGUUGCUGCGCUGGGGCGAGGUGGGGUCGAUGUUGUUUUUUCAUUGUCUGGAGCUGCAGGGGAGGCGAGGCGCGGGGAAAGGGGCGAGGGGAGCCGGGGUAAUUAACACGGGGGAGGCACCCCUCCGUCUCCCACUUCCACCCACACCCCCAUCCCUCCACCCCCUCCGCUUUGCAGGAAAAAGCCUGGAUGCGAAAGGAUGGGGGAGAACAAAGAGCCUUUGGAAGACGUCGCUGUUAUCUCAUUGUCUGUGUGAUUGGGGGAGCUGCGGCGGGGAGGAUGCUGUGGUCCCUUCCUCCGGCGUUCCCCACCCCCAUCCCUCUCCCCGCUGUCAGUGCGCACGCACACGCGCCGCUUUUUAUUUCUUUUUCCUGGUUUUCUUAUUCCAUCUUCUACCCACCCCUCUUCCUUUCUUUCACCUUUCCUUCCUUCCUUCCUCCUUUCCUUCCUCAGGAGAAAGGCCUCUCUCUCCGUGUUCACAGCGGACCUUGAUUUAAAUGUCCAUACAAUUAAGGCACGCGGUGAAUGCCAAGAAUGGGGCUG
Molecule: long non-coding RNA, 957 nt
Filed under: Homo sapiens (human)
Lineage: Eukaryota; Metazoa; Chordata; Mammalia; Primates; Hominidae
Description: non-protein coding LINC00599:22
Rfam family: mir-124 microRNA precursor family (bases 879-951)
Source: RNAcentral